RNAcentral lists this ribosomal RNA (1552 nucleotides) under Staphylococcus aureus. Its description in RNAcentral is "16S ribosomal RNA". It matches the Rfam family "Bacterial small subunit ribosomal RNA". Lineage: Bacteria; Bacillati; Bacillota; Bacilli; Caryophanales; Staphylococcaceae. The record is from RNAcentral.
UUUAUGGAGAGUUUGAUCCUGGCUCAGGAUGAACGCUGGCGGCGUGCCUAAUACAUGCAAGUCGAGCGAACGGACGAGAAGCUUGCUUCUCUGAUGUUAGCGGCGGACGGGUGAGUAACACGUGGAUAACCUACCUAUAAGACUGGGAUAACUUCGGGAAACCGGAGCUAAUACCGGAUAAUAUUUUGAACCGCAUGGUUCAAAAGUGAAAGACGGUCUUGCUGUCACUUAUAGAUGGAUCCGCGCUGCAUUAGCUAGUUGGUAAGGUAACGGCUUACCAAGGCAACGAUGCAUAGCCGACCUGAGAGGGUGAUCGGCCACACUGGAACUGAGACACGGUCCAGACUCCUACGGGAGGCAGCAGUAGGGAAUCUUCCGCAAUGGGCGAAAGCCUGACGGAGCAACGCCGCGUGAGUGAUGAAGGUCUUCGGAUCGUAAAACUCUGUUAUUAGGGAAGAACAUAUGUGUAAGUAACUGUGCACAUCUUGACGGUACCUAAUCAGAAAGCCACGGCUAACUACGUGCCAGCAGCCGCGGUAAUACGUAGGUGGCAAGCGUUAUCCGGAAUUAUUGGGCGUAAAGCGCGCGUAGGCGGUUUUUUAAGUCUGAUGUGAAAGCCCACGGCUCAACCGUGGAGGGUCAUUGGAAACUGGAAAACUUGAGUGCAGAAGAGGAAAGUGGAAUUCCAUGUGUAGCGGUGAAAUGCGCAGAGAUAUGGAGGAACACCAGUGGCGAAGGCGACUUUCUGGUCUGUAACUGACGCUGAUGUGCGAAAGCGUGGGGAUCAAACAGGAUUAGAUACCCUGGUAGUCCACGCCGUAAACGAUGAGUGCUAAGUGUUAGGGGGUUUCCGCCCUUAGUGCUGCAGCUAACGCAUUAAGCACUCCGCCUGGGGAGUACGACCGCAAGGUUGAAACUCAAAGGAAUUGACGGGGACCCGCACAAGCGGUGGAGCAUGUGGUUUAAUUCGAAGCAACGCGAAGAACCUUACCAAAUCUUGACAUCCUUUGACAACUCUAGAGAUAGAGCUUUCCCCUUCGGGGACAAAGUGACAGGUGGUGCAUGGUUGUCGUCAGCUCGUGUCGUGAGAUGUUGGGUUAAGUCCCGCAACGAGCGCAACCCUUAAGCUUAGUUGCCAUCAUUAAGUUGGGCACUCUAAGUUGACUGCCGGUGACAAACCGGAGGAAGGUGGGGAUGACGUCAAAUCAUCAUGCCCCUUAUGAUUUGGGCUACACACGUGCUACAAUGGACAAUACAAAGGGCAGCGAAACCGCGAGGUCAAGCAAAUCCCAUAAAGUUGUUCUCAGUUCGGAUUGUAGUCUGCAACUCGACUACAUGAAGCUGGAAUCGCUAGUAAUCGUAGAUCAGCAUGCUACGGUGAAUACGUUCCCGGGUCUUGUACACACCGCCCGUCACACCACGAGAGUUUGUAACACCCGAAGCCGGUGGAGUAACCUUUUAGGAGCUAGCCGUCGAAGGUGGGACAAAUGAUUGGGGUGAAGUCGUAACAAGGUAGCCGUAUCGGAAGGUGCGGCUGGAUCACCUCCUUUCU